RNAcentral lists this ribosomal RNA (471 nucleotides) under uncultured bacterium. Its description in RNAcentral is "bacterial SSU rRNA". It matches the Rfam family "Bacterial small subunit ribosomal RNA", at positions 328 to 793 of the family's 1533-position model. The record is from RNAcentral.
CAUCGAGACUCCUACGGGAGCAGCAGUGGGGAAUAUUGCACAAUGGGCGCAAGCCUGAUGCAGCCAUGCCGCGUGUGUGAAGAAGGCCUUCGGGUUGUAAAGCACUUUCAGUUGUGAGGAAGGUGGUGUCGUUAAUAGCGGCAUCAUUUGACGUUAGCAACAGAAGAAGCACCGGCUAACUCCGUGCCAGCAGCCGCGGUAAUACGGAGGGUGCGAGCGUUAAUCGGAAUUACUGGGCGUAAAGCGCAUGCAGGUGGUUUGUUAAGUCAGAUGUGAAAGCCCGGGGCUCAACCUCGGAACUGCAUUUGAAACUGGCAGACUAGAGUACUGUAGAGGGGGUAGAAUUUCAGGUGUAGCGGUGAAAUGCGUAGAGAUCUGAAGGAAUACCGGUGGCGAAGGCGGCCCCCUGGACAGAUACUGACACUCAGAUGCGAAAGCGUGGGGAGCAAACAGGAUUAGAUACCCUGGUAG